RNAcentral lists this ribosomal RNA (1373 nucleotides) under uncultured bacterium. RNAcentral describes it as "bacterial SSU rRNA". It matches the Rfam family "Bacterial small subunit ribosomal RNA", at positions 28 to 1381 of the family's 1533-position model. The record is from RNAcentral.
GAUGAACGCUGGCGGCGUGCCUAAUACAUGCAAGUCGAGCGAACAGAUAAGGAGCUUGCUCCUUUGAAGUUAGCGGCGGACGGGUGAGUAACACGUGGGUAACCUACCUAUAAGACUGGGAUAACUUCGGGAAACCGGAGCUAAUACCGGAUAACAUUUAGAACCGCAUGGUUCUAAAGUGAAAGAUGGUUUUGCUAUCACUUAUAGAUGGACCCGCGCCGUAUUAGCUAGUUGGUAAGGUAACGGCUUACCAAGGCGACGAUACGUAGCCGACCUGAGAGGGUGAUCGGCCACACUGGAACUGAGACACGGUCCAGACUCCUACGGGAGGCAGCAGUAGGGAAUCUUCCGCAAUGGGCGAAAGCCUGACGGAGCAACGCCGCGUGAGUGAUGAAGGGUUUCGGCUCGUAAAACUCUGUUAUUAGGGAAGAACAAAUGUGUAAGUAACUGUGCACAUCUUGACGGUACCUAAUCAGAAAGCCACGGCUAACUACGUGCCAGCAGCCGCGGUAAUUACGUAGGUGGCAAGCGUUAUCCGGAAUUAUUGGGCGUAAAGCGCGCGUAGACGGUUUCUUAAGUCUGAUGUGAAAGCCCACGGCUCAACCGUGGAGGGUCAUUGGAAACUGGGAAACUUGAGUGCAGAAGAGGAAAGUGGAAUUCCAUGUGUAGCGGUGAAAUGCGCAGAGAUAUGGAGGAACACCAGUGGCGAAGGCGACUUUCUGGUCUGUAACUGACGCUGAUGUGCGAAAGCGUGGGGAUCAAACAGGAUUAGAUACCCUGGUAGUCCACGCCGUAAACGAUGAGUGCUAAGUGUUAGGGGGUUUCCGCCCCUUAGUGCUGCAGCUAACGCAUUAAGCACUCCGCCUGGGGAGUACGACCGCAAGGUUGAAACUCAAAGGAAUUGACGGGGACCCGCACAAGCGGUGGAGCAUGUGGUUUAAUUCGAAGCAACGCGAAGAACCUUACCAAAUCUUGACAUCCUUUGAAAACUCUAGAGAUAGAGCCUUCCCCUUCGGGGGACAAAGUGACAGGUGGUGCAUGGUUGUCGUCAGCUCGUGUCGUGAGAUGUUGGGUUAAGUCCCGCAACGAGCGCAACCCUUAAGCUUAGUUGCCAUCAUUAAGUUGGGCACUCUAGGUUGACUGCCGGUGACAAACCGGAGGAAGGUGGGGAUGACGUCAAAUCAUCAUGCCCCUUAUGAUUUGGGCUACACACGUGCUACAAUGGACAAUACAAAGGGCAGCUAAACCGCGAGGUCAUGCAAAUCCCAUAAAGUUGUUCUCAGUUCGGAUUGUAGUCUGCAACUCGACUACAUGAAGCUGGAAUCGCUAGUAAUCGUAGAUCAGCAUGCUACGGUGAAUACGUUCCCGGGUCU